RNAcentral lists this long non-coding RNA (343 nucleotides) under Citrus x clementina. Its description in RNAcentral is "Citrus clementina (C. clementina) long non-coding RNA (CCLE_LNC006267)". Lineage: Eukaryota; Viridiplantae; Streptophyta; Magnoliopsida; Sapindales; Rutaceae. The record is from RNAcentral.
GGCCAACUUUGUCCGCCGGACUCGGAAUGCCGCGAGACUUUGCGAGGGGCCUCCGUGUGCCAAAAAUAGGCCGCGGGCAAAGCCGCGCCCAAAAUUAACCGCCCGAAGGCCGGGGCGCCAAGUUCGUCCAGCGGAAAAAGGCCACAAAAACGGGUGGGCUAUAGCCUUGGGGGGUGGGGCUGGCCCUCUUCGUCCGCCGGACUCGGAAUGCCGCGAGACUUUGCGAGGGGUCUCCGUGUGCCAAUAAUAGGCCACGGCCAAAGCCGCGCCUAAAAAUAACCGCCCGAAGGCCGGGGCGCCAACUUCGUCCAGCGGAAAAAGGCCACAAAAAAGGGUGGGCUAU